RNAcentral lists this ribosomal RNA (481 nucleotides) under uncultured bacterium. RNAcentral describes it as "partial 16S ribosomal RNA". It matches the Rfam family "Bacterial small subunit ribosomal RNA", at positions 28 to 507 of the family's 1533-position model. The record is from RNAcentral.
GAUGAACGCUGGCGGCGUGCUUAACACAUGCAAGUCGAACGAAGCACUUUAUUUGAUUUCCUUCGGGACUGAUUAUUUUGUGACUGAGUGGCGGACGGGUGAGUAACGCGUGGGUAACCUGCCUUGUACAGGGGGAUAACAGUUGGAAACGGCUGCUAAUACCGCAUAAGCGCACAGCAUCGCAUGAUGCAGUGUGAAAAACUCCGGUGGUAUAAGAUGGACCCGCGUUGGAUUAGCUAGUUGGUGAGGUAACGGCCCACCAAGGCGACGAUCCAUAGCCGACGUGAGAGGGUGACCGGCCACAUUGGGACUGAGACACGGCCCAAACUCCUACGGGAGGCAGCAGUGGGGAAUAUUGCACAAUGGGCGAAAGCCUGAUGCAGCGACGCCGCGUGAGCGAAGAAGUAUUUCGGUAUGUAAAGCUCUAUCAGCAGGGAAGAUAAUGACGGUACCUGACUAAGAAGCACCGGCUAAAUACGUG